Capsicum annuum is the source of this 7005-nucleotide long non-coding RNA. RefSeq lists it as uncharacterized. The transcript has 4 exons. The record is from RefSeq and is a predicted model, not a curated record. NCBI's taxonomy places the organism in Eukaryota, Viridiplantae, Streptophyta, Magnoliopsida, Solanales, Solanaceae.
GAUGCCUUCACCUUUAACCAUAGAUAUAAGGUUUUAGUCUUGAAAAUGGAAAAUAAGAUGCUUCCGGUUUAUUGUGCAUGAACAAGUCUGAAUUAGUCGAGCCUGAAACCCAGCGGAAAAAAAAGGAAACAAAACAGGUCGGUACGCUUGAGUUAGUUUAAUAAUCAAAAAGAAACCUAAAGUAAUAAAUCCCUUAGUGGAAUAAUCUCAACAACUUUAUUAUGAUGGAGUGUUUGAUUUUUUUUUUACUGUUGAAAUUCCUGUUUAGCCAUUUACUUUAGCUUCUCUCUGAAUCACCUCGUGUACUAUUUCACACAGCUUCGUCUUGGCAGGUUUGUUGAAAUUUAAAGAUCUUAAGAACUAGUCCGGCUUGACUAGUAAAAGCUACAGACAUGGAAAGAGGAAAUGGAGGAGAAAAAGGGGAAGUGGAAGCAAACAUAUCAUCGAGCUCCCAGGUUAAAAAGUCAGCCCUCAACAUUAAGGAAUAUGUUACAUAAUUGAUGGGAGAAGACAAGUAUGAGGUAGACUACACAGUGGGCGAGAGCAUAAUAAGUUCUGGUCGCGGUUUCAAUCGCUAGAGACUUUAUGUUAGUGGGAACUCAUCAUGAUCAUCUUAAUUAACUGCCUGUUAAUUUAGAGCAUACUUAGGUCUUAGAUCUAUAUCUCCAAACAAGUUUGAGGUACACUGCGGAGAAAUGGAUUCAUCUUAGGUCCAUACCUCCAGGCAAAUCUCUAUUAGUAUAUUACAUUAACUUCUUUCCUACCCGUUGGGGCUUCAAGUGUUGGAUCUAUCAUCACACACUUAUGCCUUCUUCAAGAUAUUUCAGUUCAUUUCCCAUUAAGCACUGUUUUUCCCAUCUGAUUCUUCUUUUAGCAGAUGCUUAUUUUUACAUAGAAAUUGAUGAAUGAUCAAAAUGGAAUUUUGACUGACAAAUUGUUUCUUAUCCUUUGGUUGACAUAUUAUUUUGUUGUUGUUACAGAUCCUUUUUCUUGAAUGCGUUAUAAUUCUUCCUCUAGUUUUGUUUUCUCUUCCUAUCUUAUAUAUGUGUUACAUGAGUUGGGAGUCUUUUGCAAACAAGCUUUCUACCUCCAUGAAAUAGAGUUGAGGUCUGUGUACACUCUAUCCUUCCUAUACCCCACUUGUGUGAUUAUAGAGUAUCUUGUUGUUGUUGCACUAUCCUUUCAGGAUGAAUCUUCUCUUCCUUUUGCCUCACAAAAGUGUCAACAAGAGUGGACUAUUUGUAAUUCUUUACAUUGCCAGUGCCCAAAACAUUAACUCUUUAUAUAUGGUCGUUGAACGUUACUUAUGAUAGUAGUAAAGUCACAACUAUUGUUUGCCACAUUAAAGUAACUAAACUUGUUAAAAUAUCUCUCAAGCACUCUCACACACACAUAUAACUGCCAUUCCAGCAGUUACUGAGCUCGAUAAGAAGAAGGAAAAGAAGAGAGAGGAUGAUCUAAGAUUGAAACUUGUAUGUUAGUUAUGUACAAUGUGAGUUCAUGCCACCUAUUUAUAGACUCACAUGACUAAAAUGUGAUUAUCUAGAAGAUUCGUAACAAAUUCCUAACAACUUAAUCAAGUGGCCAGCUCACUAACCAACUUGACACACCUAACAGACUCGACUAACAAGCAAUGCAAUAGAGUUAACUAACAGUGUUAAUCAACUGUUAACUAAUUAAUAUAACAGAAAGUAUGAAUACUGAAUAUUGAUACUAUAAGUUUUGACACUCCUCCUCAAGCUACAGGGUGCAAAAUGUUGAGCACACCAAGCUUUCUUAGGAGAUGUAAGUGUUGAUCAUGACUCAAGCCCUUUGUGAGGAUAUCUGCAACCUGUUGAUUUAUCUGCACAUACAUGGGUUGAACCAACCCUUCCUUGAUCUUAUCUCUAAUAAAGUGGCAGUCCACCUAAAUAUGUUUGGUCCUCUCAUGGAAUAUGGGGCUAGCAGCUAGCUGAAUAGCUGAAUUGCUAUCAGUAAAGAUGAUAAUAAUUUUAGUUAUAGGGAUCCCUAAUUCUACAAACAGUCCAUCCAACCAUGUUACUUCUACCAAAGCUUAGGCCAUGCUCCUAUAUUCUACCUAAACUGAGCUUCUGGAGAUAGUGUUCUAUUUUUUGGACUUCUAGGAUAUCAAUAAACCACCAAACUGCACCAUAUAGCCUAUAACAGACCUCUUAGUAUUUGGACAUGCAGCGCAAUUUGAGUCACACCAACAAACAAACUCUGUAGUAGGUUGUUCCUGGAGCCAUAUACCUUGUCCUACAAUUUCGUUUAGAUAUCUUAUCACCCUGUUUGCUGCCUCCAAAUUUUAUUUUUUAGGUUGUUACAUGAACUGACUUACUAUUUGUACUUCAUAACUGAUAUCAAGUUUUGUUAUUCUUGCAUACAACAAUUUUCCAACAAGUCUUUGAUACGAUGUUAUAUCCCUUAGAAUAAUAUCUCCUUUAACACCUGCUGCUUCAUUCACUUUAACAAAGGUUAGCUUGAUAUUAAUAUCUAAUGGAGUAAGAUAUGGCUUAGCACCAACAAGCCCUAUGUCAGAUGUAAGCUCCAAUAUAUAUUUUCUUUGGUUCAAUAUUACUCUACUUGCAGACCUCAACACUUUAAUGCCUAAGAAGUCCUUAAGCUCACCUAGAUCCUUAAGUAUAAAUUGCUGAUGGAGAGUAACUUUUGUUGCAUUAAUCAUGUUUGUAUUAUCCCCUAUUAUUAGAAGAUCAUCUACAUAAACUAAAACCACCACCAUACCUUUUGACUUCUUUAAGGUAAAGCGUGAAUAAUCAUAUCUGCUCAGAGAGAAUGCUGUAUUGAGCAAUGCUGCAGUAGGCUUUAUAUUCCACUGCCUUGAUACUUGGUUAAGUCCAUACAAUGACUUGAUUAAUCUUCAAACUUUGAGUUACUUCCCUCCAAGAAACCAUCUGGCAUUUCCAUAUACACUUUCUCAUCUAAAUCACCUUGUAGAAAAGCAUUAUAGACAUCCAUUUGGUACAUACACCACCCUUUUGAUACAGCUAAAGUAAUAAAAUUUCUCACUAUAACCAUUUUUGCUAUGGGAGAGAAUGUGUCAUGGUAAUCUAGUCCCUCCUGUUGGCUGUAACCCUUGGCGACCAACCUUUCCUUAAACCUUUCUACUUCUCCAUUAGCAUUGUACUUGAUCUUGUAGACCCAUUUUGAUCCAAUUAUAUUCUUGUCCAGAGGAAUAUCAACUACCUCCUAAGUAUGAUUUUCUUCAAGAUCUUUAACCUUCUAUUUCAUAGCUUUAAUCCACCUCUUAUCUCCGCCAGCUUCAUUAUAAGAUUGUGGUUCUACUUUUGUUGAUAGACUGGACAUAAAACUUUGGUAUCUUGAACUAGUAUUAGCAUAAGAUAGAUAGUUUUCCAUAGGAUAUCUGGUUUCUCUUUUUCCCUAGUAAUGCAUAGUCCAACAACCAAACAAGUUGUUUGAUGACUCUAGAUGAUUUUCUUGGAGCAACUUCUGCAGGUGAUAAGGAUGGCUCAUCUUUGCUGGUGAAGUUAUGAGUGUCUUCAUCUUGGAUACUGUUAAGAUUAUGUGGUGAUGUACUUUUCUCUUGUGGAUCAUAUGAUUGAUUAUCAGGAUCUGUGUAAGUAUCUACUUCUAUUACUGCAUUAGUAUGAUAAGAUAAACUCAGCUUAAGGAAAUCAACAGUUGAUUCUGAGCUUGGGUACUCUACAAAAAGGAAUGAAUCAUGUUUGAACACUGCAUCUCUUAUGACAAACAAUUUGUUAGUACACCAAUCCGACAAUAUAUAACCCUUCUGAGUGGUAGAAUAACCCUUCAAUACUGCAACUUUAGCUCUUUUAGAGAGCUUAUCACCCUUUGGUAGUACUGAAGCAUAGCAUUUGCAUCCAAUAACUCUUAGGUGUGUUAGUGAUGGGACUUUACAGAAUAAUAUUUCAUAAGGACUUUCACCCUCAAUAGCUGAGGAUGGUAACCUUUUAAUAAGAUACACAAUAGCCUUAACAUUUAAUCCCUAAAGCUUCAUAGGCACCUGUGAUUGAAACCUAAUGGCUCUUGUGACAUUCAAUAUCUGUCUGUGUUGUCUCUCAACCACACUAUUUUAUUGUGGUGUGUAUGGGAAGAUACUUUGAUGUAUUAUUCCCAAGGUCUGAAACAACUCUGUACAUUUAGAAUUAAGGAACUCUUUCCCAUUAUCUAACCUUAAUAUUUUCACUUGAGCACUAAAUUGAUUCUGAAUUAGAGUAAAGAAGUUUUUUAUGGCUACAAUACACUCAGACUUUAAUUGUAGUAGAUGAAACCAUGUAUAUCUUCUAUGAUCAUCAACAAUAGUUAAAAACUAGUACUUCUUUUCAAAAGUAGGUGUCUUAUAAGGCCCCCAAGGAUCCAUCUGUACAAUAUCAAAACAUUUUGAAGAUCUAGAUAUACAGAGAGGAAAGAUUUGUCUAGUUUAUUUAGCUAAUGGAUAAAUAUAACACUUAUUUAGAAUAUGUACAUCACUACUGUGUCUUAAUAGAUUGAAAGUUCUUAAUGCCUGGGAAGAGGGAUGUCCCAGCCUCAUAUACCACAGACUGCACUCAUGCAUCUCUACUCCUGUAUCCUGCCCUUGAUGAGCCACAUUAUUGAUAAUUCUAUUCUCUCCACAUACAUUUUUGAGGAUGUAUAAUCUUUCUUUUUCCUUACCAAUCCCCUUCACCUUGCCACUAUAAAGGUUCUAAAGUACACAAAAGUCAAGAUAGAAUGAACCAAAACAAGAGAGUUUCCUAGUCAUUUUAGACACUCAUAACAAGUUCAGUUUAAAAUCUAGAACAUACAACACAUCCCUUACAACCUCUUCUUUCAGAACUUGUGCUUCUCCUACAUGUGAUAUAUCCACCUUGGCUCCAGUAGGUAGGUUUACUUAAUCACACAUUGUGUUGUCAAUUUUGUGAUAGUGUGAGAAUAUAUCCUUGUGUGCUACCACAUAAUGUAUGGCUCUAGAGCCUAUGAUCCAUUCAUAUGGAACAACAUGACUAAAAAAACAAGUAAUAGUACUUGUCAUAUUAGCUUUUUCUGAGUCAUUUGUCUCUUUGUUGAUCAAUGCUAUGAUCUGUCUAUAUUCAUCUUCUGAGAAACCUUAUCCCUUUAACAGACCAGCAUUGUUGUUCCCUUUACUUUCCUGGUUACCAGUUUGAUCAGCCAAGUAUGAUUUCUCUACUUGAGGUCUAAUAAAGUUAUGAGCUAAUGACUGGCUGGUAUUUUGACUAAUAGCUAAUUGUCCAUCUCUACCACCUCCACCACCUCCACCUUGACCAUUGUAGAGUUCUUGAUUUUAUACCCCCUUGGAUUGUUGUAGUUACUUAUUUUAUUGUUUCUCCAAUCACUUGGAUAUCCAUGCAAUUUGUAAUAGUUUUCUCUUGUGUGGCCAGUGAAGUUACAACAAUCAUAUCUUUUACCUUUUAAUCUUGGCUUCCAUAAUUGGUUGAUGCCUGAUUCCUAUUCCAAAUCUAGAAUUUGCAUAUUUUCUAUGUACUUGCAUAGGAAUAGGCUUAGUUUUAUGAAUAAUAUUUACAACACAAGCAAGUUGCUGGAUCUCAUCUUUAAUAAUCAUUGCAUAUUCUUGGUUAAGUGUAGGUGUUGUUCCCUUUAUCAAUAUAUGUCUAUUUACUUGGUCAUAUGUAUCAUUUAGUCCACUUAGGAAUUGUAUUAGCCUCAACUAAUCUAAGUGCUCUACAUACUCCUUAGACUUAGAACAAUUACAUGAUGGAGCUAGAAUAACCGCAUUAUGUUCACUCCACAAAUUCUUUAACUUAGUGAAGUAGGUUGAGACCGAGUCAGUGCCUUGGUGUAGGUUGUUGAUUUCCCUGUUCAAUUGGUACAAUCUCAUAUGAUUCACUUUGUCAAACCUCUUCUAAAGAUUUUCCCAUACCUCAUAGGCAUUUUUUCCAUACACAAUACCACUGAGUAACUGUUCACUUACUGAACUCAUCAGCCAUGAAAGAAAUACUGCAUUGAAUAUCUCCCAUUAAUCAUGUAAUUCCUCUCUGUAUGUGUUCUUUUUACAAGUACCAGUCACACAAACAUACUUCUUCUUUCCCAAUAGUCCAAUCUUCAUAGAUUUACACCAAAUUCCAUAAUUCUAUGAACCAGUCAACUUAAUGGGAAUCAAUGCAGCUCCUACUACAUCUGAUGCUCCUAGGCCACUAGGAUCAAUCUUAGGUGCCAUGUAUAUUUUGUAGGAUACAACUAUAUUGGAAUAAAAAUGUCAUAGAAAUCUCAAAAUACACCACUUGUAUAUAGAGAUCUAAACUCCUCUAAGCUCACUAGCUCACAAAUAGAAAUCACAGAUAGAAGGAACUCACUGUAUUAAAGAUGUAUUGACAUUCAAUUGUUAUUUCUCCAGUUCCAUGAUCGCGUGGAUUUGAUACCAUGGUAAAAUAUAUCUCAAUCACUCUCUCUCACAAACACUAAUACCAUUGCAGCAGUUACUGAGCUCGAUGAGAAGAAGGAGAAGAAGAGAGAAAAUGAGCUAAGAUUGAAACUUGUAUGUUAGUUACGUACAAUAUGAGUUCAUGCCACCUAUUUAUAGAUUCAUAUGACUAAAAUGUGAUUAUAUAGAAGCUUCCUAACAACUUAAUCAAGUGACCAGCUCACUAUCCUACUUGACACACUUAACAGACUCGACUAACAAACAAUGCAACAGUGUUAAGUAACAAUGUUAACCAACUGUUAACUAACUCAUAUAACAGAAAGUAUGAAUACUAAUUAUUGAUCCUAUAAGUUUUAACAGAAAUUUAUCCACUAUAAUGGUUACUAAACGUUAAUACUAUUGUAUACACGUCUUAGAUACAAGCAACUGAGAGUUCUUGAAUUCAACUUAUCUAGCAAAAACUAGACGGUUGUGCAAACUAAUUUUCCCUGCAUAUACUCUGGUAUUGCUUAGCAUACAGUUAUAGAAAAAGCCUAUAAUUCAGCAAAAUAGGAGUGCCCAAACUUAACUUUCAAUAUUACAAUUCAUAGUCUCCCUUUCGUUUUGUUUCUUUUUACUCUCUUUUC